CGCGCAGGCGGCUAUCUACGUCCGGGGUGAAAGCCCAGAGCUCAACUCUGGGACUGCCUUGGAUACGGGAUGGCUUGAGGAUCGGAGAGGCAAGGGGAAUUCCACGUGUAGCGGUGAAAUGCGUAGAGAUGUGGAGGAACACCUGUGGCGAAGGCGCCUUGCUGGCCGAUUUCUGACGCUGAGGCGCGAAAGCGUGGGGAGCAAACAGGAUUAGAUACCCUGGUAGUCCACGCCGUAAACGAUGAGUGCUAGGUGUUGGGGGGUACCACCCUCAGUGCCGAAGCUAACGCAUUAAGCACUCCGCCUGGGGAGUACGGUCGCAAGACUGAA
Molecule: ribosomal RNA, 330 nt
Filed under: uncultured Tumebacillus sp.
Lineage: Bacteria; Bacillati; Bacillota; Bacilli; Caryophanales; Alicyclobacillaceae
Description: bacterial SSU rRNA
Rfam family: Bacterial small subunit ribosomal RNA
Source: RNAcentral